AUACGUAGGGGGCGAGCGUUGUCCGGAAUGAUUGGGCGUAAAGGGCGCGUAGGCGGCCCGGUAAGUCUGGAGUGAAAGUCCUGUUUUUAAGAUGGGAAUUGCUUUGGAUACUGUCGGGCUUGAGUGCAGGAGAGGUAAGUGGAAUUCCCAGUGUAGCGGUGAAAUGCGUAGAGAUUGGGAGGAACACCAGUGGCGAAGGCGACUUACUGGACUGUAACUGACGCUGAGGCGCGAAAGUGUGGGGAGCAAACAGGAUUAGAUACCCUGGUAGUCCACACGGUAAACGAUGAAUGCUAGGUGUAGGGGGUAUCGACCCCUUCUGUGCCGCAGUCAACACAAUAAGCAUUCCGCCUGGGGAGUACGGCCGCAAGGUUGAAACUCAAAUGAAUUGACGGGG
This 397-nucleotide ribosomal RNA is filed under the name uncultured bacterium. RNAcentral's name for it is "partial 16S ribosomal RNA". It matches the Rfam family "Bacterial small subunit ribosomal RNA", at positions 523 to 918 of the family's 1533-position model. The record is from RNAcentral.